GUGCCAGCAGCCGCGGUAACACGUAGGGUGCGAGCGUUGUCCGGAAUUAUUGGGCGUAAAGAGCUCGUAGGCGGUGUGUCGCGUCGGCCGUGAAAACUUGGGGCUUAACUCUGAGCGUGCGGUCGAUACGGGCAUCACUUGAGUUCGGCAGGGGAGACUGGAAUUCCUGGUGUAGCGGUGAAAUGCGCAGAUAUCAGGAGGAACACCGGUGGCGAAGGCGGGUCUCUGGGCCGAUACUGACGCUGAGGAGCGAAAGCGUGGGGAGCGAACAGGAUUAGAUACCCUGGUAGUCC
Molecule: ribosomal RNA, 293 nt
Filed under: uncultured microorganism
Description: partial 16S ribosomal RNA
Rfam family: Bacterial small subunit ribosomal RNA
Source: RNAcentral